AAGGGAGACCUAAUUCAGGUAGGAGACGAAAAAAAAGUAGUCGCUACCAAGAAUCAAUCCCAAAAGGUCGGAGCGAGGCGAAAUUGGCUUUCAAACUAGGUUCUGGGUUCACACAAGACCUGAAUCAGGAACAAGGGCUAUUAGCUCAGGUGGUUAGAGCGCACCCCUGAUAAGGGUGAGGUCCCUGGUUCGAGUCCAGGAUGGCCCACCUGUACAGGUGGCAAAAAGAAAGAAAAGAAGCGAGGAAUCAGCACCUUAUCUUACUGACAUAGUAAGAGAGAAUGCUGGCUCUGAGUAAAGAGUCCAGAGGAACCUUGAAAACUGCAUAGAGCUAGGUGAAAAAGCCAAAAAAGGGGACCGCAA
RNAcentral lists this transfer RNA (363 nucleotides) under uncultured Microcystis sp. RNAcentral's name for it is "partial 16S-23S ribosomal RNA intergenic spacer". The stretch from base 135 to 208 matches the Rfam family "tRNA". Lineage: Bacteria; Bacillati; Cyanobacteriota; Cyanophyceae; Chroococcales; Microcystaceae. The record is from RNAcentral.